GGGGAUAUGGCGAAAUUGGUAGACGCAACGGACUUAAAAAAUCCGUCGAUAUUAAAAAGUCGUGAGGGUUCAAGUCCCUCUAUCCCCA
RNAcentral lists this transfer RNA (88 nucleotides) under Simmondsia chinensis (jojoba). RNAcentral describes it as "tRNA-Leu". It matches the Rfam family "tRNA". Rfam says of the family: Transfer RNA (tRNA) molecules are approximately 80 nucleotides in length. Their secondary structure includes four short double-helical elements and three loops (D, anti-codon, and T loops). Further hydrogen bonds mediate the characteristic L-shaped molecular structure. tRNAs have two regions of fundamental functional importance: the anti-codon, which is responsible for specific mRNA codon recognition, and the 3' end, to which the tRNAs corresponding amino acid is attached (by aminoacyl-tRNA synthetases). tRNAs cope with the degeneracy of the genetic code in two manners: having more than one tRNA (with a specific anti-codon) for a particular amino acid; and 'wobble' base-pairing, i.e. permitting non-standard base-pairing at the 3rd anti-codon position. The record is from RNAcentral. Lineage: Eukaryota; Viridiplantae; Streptophyta; Magnoliopsida; Caryophyllales; Simmondsiaceae.